Molecule: ribosomal RNA, 950 nt
Filed under: Okibacterium fritillariae
Lineage: Bacteria; Bacillati; Actinomycetota; Actinomycetes; Micrococcales; Microbacteriaceae
Description: bacterial SSU rRNA
Rfam family: Bacterial small subunit ribosomal RNA
Source: RNAcentral
AAAGGAUGGMCUCGCGGCCUUAUCAGCUUGUUGGUGAGGUAAUGGCUCCACCAAGGSGGACGACGGGUASCCGGCCUGAGAGGGUGACCGSCCACACUGGGGACUGAGACACGGCCCAGAYUCYUACGGGARGCAGCAGUGGGGAAUAUUGCACAAUGGGCGAAAGCCUGAUGCAGCAACGCCGCGUGAGGGACGACGGCCUUUCGGGUUGUAAACCUCUUUUAGCAGGGAAGAAGCGAAAGUGACGGUACCUGCAGAAAAAGCACCGGCUAACUACGUGCCAGCAGCCGCGGUAAUACGUAGGGUGCAAGCGUUGUCCGGAAUUAUUGGGCGUAAAGAGCUCGUAGGCGGUUUGUCGCGUCUGCUGUGAAAUCCCGAGGCUCAACCUCGGGUCUGCAGUGGGUACGGGCAGACUAGAGUGCGGUAGGGGAGAUUGGAAUUCCUGGUGUAGCGGUGGAAUGCGCAGAUAUCAGGAGGAACACCGAUGGCGAAGGCAGAUCUCUGGGCCGUAACUGACGCUGAGGAGCGAAAGGGUGGGGAGCAAACAGGCUUAGAUACCCUGGUAGUCCACCCCGUAAACGUUGGGAACUAGAUGUGGGGACCAUUCCACGGUCUCCGUGUCGCAGCUAACGCAUUAAGUUCCCCGCCUGGGGGAGUACGGCCGCAAGGCUAAAACUCAAAGGAAAUUGACGGGGGCCCGCACAAGCGGCGGAGCAUGCGGAUUAAUUCGAUGCAACGCGAAGAACCUUACCAAGGCUUGACAUAUACCGAGAACGGGCCCAGAAAUGGUCAACUCUUUGGACACUCGUAUACAGGUGGKGGCAUGGGUUGUCGUCAGCUCGUGUCGUGAGAWGGUUGGGGUUAARUCCCSCMACSAAGCGCAAACCCUCSUUYUUAUGUUGCCASCACGUAAAUGGGUGGGGAACUCCAUGGGAKAACWGGCCGGGGKC